This 517-nucleotide ribosomal RNA is filed under the name uncultured bacterium. RNAcentral's name for it is "bacterial SSU rRNA". It matches the Rfam family "Bacterial small subunit ribosomal RNA", at positions 43 to 518 of the family's 1533-position model. The record is from RNAcentral.
CGAUGCCUAAGACAUGCAAGUCGAACGAAGUAGCCUAAUGAAGAUUGAGUGCUUGCACAAUUCUGAUUAGAUUCCUACUAGUGGCAGACGGGUGAGUAACACGUGGGUAACCUACCUCGGAGACUGGGAUAACAGUUAGAAAUGACUGCUAAUACCGGAUGAUUCAUAGUUAGAUAACUAAUUAUGCUAAAAGGAGCAUUUGCUUCACUUUGAGAUGGGCUUGCGUUGUAUUAGUUAGUUGGUGGGGUAAUGGCCUACCAAGACAACGAUGCAUAUCCGAGCUGAGAGGCUGAUCGGACACACUGGGACUGAGACACGGCCCAGACUCCUACGGGAGACAGCAGUUAGGAAUAUUCGUCAAUGGGGGAAACCCUGAACGAGCAAUGCCGCGUGAAGUGAUUAAGGUCUUAUAGAUUGUAAAACUCUGUUGUAAAGAAAGAAACCUUAAGAUAGGAAAUGAUCUUAAGCUGACGGUACUUUACCAGAAAGCCCCGGCUAACUACGUGCCAGCAGCCGC